AGAGUUUGAUCCUGGCUCAGGAUGAACGCUGGCGGCGUACCUAACGCAUGCAAGUCGAACGGGGAUUGGGAGCAAUCUUGAUCCUAGUGGCAAACGGGUGAGUAACACGUGGGUAACCUACCCCGGAGUGGGGAAUAACGACCCGAAAGGGUCGCUAAUACCGCAUAAUCUCGGAAGAGGAAAGGUGCAAAUCGCUCUGGGACGGGCCUGCGGCCCAUCAGGUAGUUGGAGGGGUAACGGCCCACCAAGCCGAUGACGGGUAGCUGAUCUGAGAGGAUGACCAGCCACACUGGCACUGAUACACGGGCCAGACUCCUACGAGAGGCAGCAGCGAGGAAUAUUGCGCAAUGGGCGAAAGCCUGACGCAGUAACGCCGCGUGCGGGAAGAAGGCCUUCGGGUCGUAAACCGCUUUUCGGAGGGACGAGGAAGGACGGUACCUCUGGAAUAAGUCUCGGCUAACUACGUGCCAGCAGCCGCGGUAAGACGUAGGAGGCGAGCGUUAUCCGGAUUCACUGGGCGUAAAGCGCGUGUAGGCGGUUCGGCAAGUCGGUUGUGAAAGCCCCUGGCUCAACUGGGGGAGGUCAGCCGAAACUGCGGGACUGGAGGGUCAGAGAGGAAGGUGGAAUUCCCGGUGUAGCGGUGGAAUGCGUAGAGAUCGGGAGGAACACCAGUGGCGAAAGCGGCCUUCUGGCUGACCACUGACGCUGAGACGCGAAAGCGUGGGUAGCAAACGGGAUUAGAUAC
Molecule: ribosomal RNA, 745 nt
Filed under: uncultured bacterium
Lineage: Bacteria
Description: bacterial SSU rRNA
Rfam family: Bacterial small subunit ribosomal RNA
Source: RNAcentral